GUACGCUACUGCUUGAGCCAUAUCCCCAGUCCAAAACUUUGAAUUUUUAAUAUGGAAAUUAACUGAAGGUUUUGGUACUAAAAUUGGAGACUACUGUUAUAUCUCUAACUCCAUGUUUUUUCCCUUCCUUGGUUUACUUUAGAGUGAGUAGCAGAUUAUUUUAUAGAAUUCCGAUCACUUUUGGAGAGGCCCAAAGGAGUGGCUUUGAAGAGCUAAAUCAACAUACCCCUUUGUCCCUGCAGUGUCCUGUUGAAGGAUCUGUUUUUCUUUUGAACAGUCAUUCCAUAAAUAUUAGCUGUCCAUAAUUUGAAAACAUUGGUUUCACAAGCAUUUGCAAAUUAUUUUGUUGUUGUUGUUGUUGUCAUUGUUGAACUUUCAGAGCUUUAUUCUACAUAGAAACAAAAUUUGCUAGCCUCUUCCACAAAGACCUAAGACCCUAGGGAAGACUACUGCAAAGUUGAGGGAAAAAAAAUACUGUUUCACUUUUAGUAAUUAAAGUUGCAUUAAAUUAGAAAGUACUUCAUUCGUCUUGAAUGUCGGAGCCUGAGGACAAACAUUUAUUUGAAAGAGAAGAUAUGAUGAUAGCUUCAGAGAGGUUCUAAAUCAACAUUCAAGGUGAGAAAUGUGUGUGGAGUUCUCAGAUAUAGGUUUCCUUAAUCAUGUAUACUUUUCUUUUGGUUUGAAGAAUAUUACAAGGACAUCCUUACUGUGAUCUUUAUUGUGUUUUGAUUUGAUUUGAUUAGCACAGUGACUGAAAGAAAUCAGCACAGGAAGAGGCUUUCCUGAGGUACUGGGCAAGGGUUUGAAUAAGGGAGCAAUUUAUUAUAGAGGACAUGCAUGUCCUUGGCUGUGUGACAAUGGCAGAUAAGUAACCUAUCUUCUGUGACUCUCAUUCUUCAUCAGCAGCAUUGCUGUGGCUCUUAGGCUAAAUGAUAUAACUAACAUGUCUGGCACAGCAGACGUUCACAAAAUUUAAGUCAACCCUCCCCAGCAGAAUUCAUGCUGUGAGUGGCAGAAGAACAGUAUCUAUAGGAUUCUUACAAGGAAGACCCACAAAAGGGUGAUGGGGAAGAAAUUGUGGAUUAUGUGGUUCUUCAUAGGAUUGUCACUUUUCAGAUCCUGUACUUUGAAUAAUAUCCACUGGAAAAUAAGGGAUGGGUGGGCUGAACAGCCUCAGGUUUGAUAGGUGGUGGAUUCCACCAAUGUUUCUCUGCUUGUAUAAGUAGAACCUAAAAGUUUACUAGUGAACCAGGGUUAUAGUUCCUAAAGCCUUAGGAAAACAUGAGCAGUGGCAAAGUCAAGUAAGG
This 1307-nucleotide long non-coding RNA is filed under the name Marmota monax (woodchuck). The record is from RNAcentral. Lineage: Eukaryota; Metazoa; Chordata; Mammalia; Rodentia; Sciuridae.